This 525-nucleotide ribosomal RNA is filed under the name Anaplasma phagocytophilum. Its description in RNAcentral is "bacterial SSU rRNA". It matches the Rfam family "Bacterial small subunit ribosomal RNA", at positions 72 to 628 of the family's 1533-position model. Lineage: Bacteria; Pseudomonadati; Pseudomonadota; Alphaproteobacteria; Rickettsiales; Anaplasmataceae. The record is from RNAcentral.
UUUAUAGCUUGCUAUAGAGAAUAGUUAGUGGCAGACGGGUGAGUAAUGCAUAGGAAUCUACCUAGUAGUAUGGGAUAGCCACUAGAAAUGGUGGGUAAUACUGUAUAAUCCCUGCGGGGGAAAGAUUUAUCGCUAUUAGAUGAGCCUAUGUUAGAUUAGCUAGUUGGUAGGGUAAAGGCCUACCAAGGCGAUGAUCUAUAGCUGGUCUGAGAGGAUGAUCAGCCACACUGGAACUGAGAUACGGUCCAGACUCCUACGGGAGGCAGCAGUGGGGAAUAUUGGACAAUGGGCGCAAGCCUGAUCCAGCUAUGCCGCGUGAGUGAGGAAGGCCUUAGGGUUGUAAAACUCUUUCAGUAGGGAAGAUAAUGACGGUACCUACAGAAGAAGUCCCGGCAAACUCCGUGCCAGCAGCCGCGGUAAUACGGAGGGGGCAAGCGUUGUUCGGAAUUAUUGGGCGUAAAGGGCAUGUAGGCGGUUCGGUAAGUUAAAGGUGAAAUGCCAGGGCUUAACCCUGGAGCUGCUUUU